AAGUCGUAACAAGGUAUCCGUAGAUGAACCUGCGGAAGGAUCAUUACAACAAGGUUCCCUGGCCCUCGAAGCUUCGGCGGAGGGGCGCUACAGCCUGACUUUAUACCCACCCUUUGCCUAUGUGUACCCCUAUUGCUUCCCUCGGCGGGUUCGCCCGCCGACAGGAACCAACUAAACCCUUUGCAUUAUACAUUCAACACUUCCGAUACAAAACUAAAUUAUUACAACUUUUAACAAUGGAUCUCUUGGUUCUG
RNAcentral lists this unclassified non-coding RNA (254 nucleotides) under Periconia byssoides. RNAcentral's name for it is "partial internal transcribed spacer region". The stretch from base 1 to 46 matches the Rfam family "Eukaryotic small subunit ribosomal RNA", at positions 1786 to 1831 of the family's 1831-position model. The record is from RNAcentral. Lineage: Eukaryota; Fungi; Ascomycota; Dothideomycetes; Pleosporales; Periconiaceae.